This 253-nucleotide ribosomal RNA is filed under the name uncultured bacterium. RNAcentral's name for it is "partial 16S ribosomal RNA". It matches the Rfam family "Bacterial small subunit ribosomal RNA", at positions 524 to 776 of the family's 1533-position model. The record is from RNAcentral.
UACGUAGGGGGCAAGCGUUGUUCGGAUUUACUGGGCGUAAAGGGCGCGUAGGCGGCCCUCCUUGUCGCGUGUGAAAGCCCCGGGCUCAACCUGGGAAUUGCGCGCGAAACGGGGGGGCUUGAGUUCGGGAGAGGAGCGUGGAAUUCCCAGUGUAGAGGUGAAAUUCGUAGAUAUUGGGAAGAACACCGGUGGCGAAGGCGGCGCUCUGGACCGAGACUGACGCUGAGGCGCGAAAGCCAGGGGAGCGAACGGG